AGUCAACUUUUUCUCAGAGAAGUUUUUUGAGGGCUAGCAUGAAUAUUUCAUUUGAGAUAGCGCACUCCAUCCCUUCAAGAGAAGGGAGACCCAAGCGCUCGCAGAUCGUCGACGGUUCAGAUGUGACGAUAGGCGAAAGUAGGUAAAGAGAAACCCUAGGACCUUCAUAAUGACACUCUCUAAAAGUGUCGGGCUAAGUCUUUGUAAAAGGAUAUGUCAAAACAGGGCGAGGUUGGCUGAUAGCGACACGAAGAGGACACGGAUAAGACCUGAAAAGGUAGCAAGUAGGGCGUGCAGACGCUUGUAAAAAGUCCGUUUGAGAUUUGCAAUAGUCUCAGAGUAAUCUGAACC
This 351-nucleotide non-coding RNA is filed under the name unclassified sequences. Its description in RNAcentral is "GEBRO RNA". It matches the Rfam family "GEBRO RNA". The record is from Rfam by way of RNAcentral.